UACAGAGGUGGCAAGCGUUGUUCGGAAUUACUGGGCGUAAAGGGCGCGUAGGCGGCCAUCUAAGUCAGACGUGAAAUCCCCCGGCUUAACCUGGGAACUGCGUCUGAUACUGGAUGGCUUGAAUCCGGGAGAGGGAUGCGGAAUUCCAGGUGUAGCGGUGAAAUGCGUAGAUAUCUGGAGGAACACCGGUGGCGAAGGCGGCAUCCUGGACCGGCAUUGACGCUGAGGAGCGAAAGCCAGGGGAGCAAACGGG
Molecule: ribosomal RNA, 253 nt
Filed under: uncultured bacterium
Lineage: Bacteria
Description: partial 16S ribosomal RNA
Rfam family: Bacterial small subunit ribosomal RNA
Source: RNAcentral